Molecule: ribosomal RNA, 435 nt
Filed under: Cephalotheca foveolata
Lineage: Eukaryota; Fungi; Ascomycota; Sordariomycetes; Cephalothecales; Cephalothecaceae
Description: eukaryotic LSU rRNA
Rfam family: Eukaryotic large subunit ribosomal RNA
Source: RNAcentral
GGCUUCGGCCCGAGUUGUAAUCUGUAGAGGACGCUUUUGGCGCGGUGCCUUCCGAGUUCCCUGGAACGGGACGCCAUAGAGGGUGAGAGCCCCGUAAGGUCGGACACCAAGCCUCUGUAAAGCUCCUUCGACGAGUCGAGUAGCUUGGGAAUGCUGCUCUAAGCGGGAGGUAAACUUCUUCUAAAGCUAAAUACUGGCCAGAGACCGAUAGCGCACAAGUAGAGUGAUCGAAAGAUGAAAAGCACUUUGAAAAGAGGGUCAAAUAGUACGUGAAAUUGUUGAAAGGGAAGCGCUCAUGACCAGACUUGCGCCUGGCGGAUCAUCCGGCUGUCUCAGCCGGUGCACUCCGCCUGGCGCAGGCCAGCGUCGGCUGUUGCGGGGGGACAAAAGCACCGGGAACGUAGCUCUCCUCGGAGAGUGUUAUAGCCCUAUGCA